UCCACACUAUUUUUACACUCAAGAACAUAUUCUCCAGAACAUAGCUGAAAAAUCCACACGAUUUAUCUUCUCCGGAAUUUCAAAUCGACUGAAGAGGAGCUGAAAAUCGAUAAGAGGAAGCUGAAAAAUGGAGGAGCUGAAGAGAGGAACUGAAUACUGAAGCUGAGGUGAAAAUCGGAGGAGCUGAACUGAUUCUAUUCUCCAAAAUCGAAGAAGUUGAAAAUUGGAGGAGUUCAGCUGAGCAGAUGUUGACCAACAAAUUCUACACUCCAAGAUUUGUUAGUGUAAUAUGUUCUUUUCCCCAAAUACGGAAAUGAACAAAAUGUUUCACACAUGAACACGCCUUACGUCUUGGGUUGUUGCAACAGUUUUUAUAAGAUGUUGCACAUGCUAGAGGAGUUUAUGAUGGUCCAAAUGAAGAUUCCAAGAAAUUCUAUAACUUACUUAACGAGGCAAACAAAAAAUUAUAUCCUGGCUGUAUAGGAUUCUCUAAAUUAUCAUUCACACUUUGCUUAUAUUUUUUGAAGUGUUUACAUGGAUGUAGCAAUAAAUCAUUCACUUCUCUUUUAGAGUUAUUAAAAGAGGCGAUGCCCGAGUUGAACAUUCCUUAGUCUUACAAUAAAACCAAGUCUAUUGUUAAGAAUGUUGGU
This is a long non-coding RNA of Solanum lycopersicum (tomato), 650 nucleotides long. RefSeq lists it as uncharacterized. NCBI's taxonomy places the organism in Eukaryota, Viridiplantae, Streptophyta, Magnoliopsida, Solanales, Solanaceae. The record is from RefSeq and is a predicted model, not a curated record.